CCGCACUGUCAAGUGAUUGGGCUUCCUCCAUAAUGAAGCUCCAGUCUCAUUCCGGUGCCAGAUCGACCUCAGUUUGCAGAAGGGCUGAGUUAGACUGCUGGCUCCUCCCUUUCGAAGGCUGAGAACAAAC
Molecule: small nucleolar RNA, 130 nt
Organism: Thalassophryne amazonica
Lineage: Eukaryota; Metazoa; Chordata; Actinopteri; Batrachoidiformes; Batrachoididae
Source: RefSeq, a predicted model, not a curated record